UUGCAUAUCCCAAAAGCGGAGGAAAAGAAACCAACAGGGAUUGCCUUAGUAGCGGCGAGUGAGCGGCAAAGCUCAAAUUUGAAAUCUGGCGUAUUCUGCGUCCGAGUUGUAAUUUGAAGAAGGAUACUUUGGGGUUGGCUCUUGUCUAUGUUUCUUGGAACAGAACGUCACAGAGGGUGAGAAUCCCGUGCGAUGAGAAGCCCAAUUCCGUGUAAAGUGCCUUCGAAGAGUCGAGUUGUUUGGGAAUGCAGCUCUAAGUGGGUGGUAAAUUCCAUCUAAAGCUAAAUAUUGGCGAGAGACCGAUAGCGAACAAGUACAGUGAUGGAAAGAUGAAAAGAACUUUGAAAAGAGAGUGAAAAAGUACGUGAAAUUGUUGAAAGGGAAGGGCUUGAGAUCAGACUUGGUAUUUUGUAUGUCUUGCUUUCGGGUGGGGCCUCUGCAGUUUACUGGGCCAGCAUCGGUUCGGGUGGUAGGACAAUUGCGAAGGAACGUGGCACUGCUUCGGUGGUGUGUUAUAGCCUUUGUGGAUACUGCCUGUCUGGACCGAGGACUGCGUCAUUUGACUAGGAUGCUGGCAUAAUGAUCUUAAGUCGCCCGUCUUGAAACCCACGGGACCA
Molecule: ribosomal RNA, 617 nt
Filed under: Hemisphaericaspora elongata
Lineage: Eukaryota; Fungi; Ascomycota; Pichiomycetes; Serinales; Debaryomycetaceae
Description: Spathaspora elongata partial large subunit ribosomal RNA
Rfam family: Eukaryotic large subunit ribosomal RNA
Source: RNAcentral